RNAcentral lists this ribosomal RNA (439 nucleotides) under uncultured bacterium. RNAcentral describes it as "partial 16S ribosomal RNA". It matches the Rfam family "Bacterial small subunit ribosomal RNA", at positions 338 to 795 of the family's 1533-position model. The record is from RNAcentral.
CCUACGGGAGGCAGCAGUGGGGAAUAUUGCACAAUGGGCGAAAGCCUGAUGCAGCAACGCCGCGUGAGCGAUGAAGGCCUUCGGGUCGUAAAGCUCUGUCCUCAAGGAAGAUAAUGACGGUACUUGAGGAGGAAGCCCAGGCUAACUACGUGCCAGCAGCCGCGGUAAUACGUCGGGGGCUAGCGUUAUACGGAAUUGCUGGGCGUAAGGGGUGCGUAGGUGGUUUCUUAAGUAAGAGGUGAAAGGCAAGGGCUCAACCGUAGUAAGCCUUUGAAACUGGGAAACUUGAGUGCAGGAGAGGAGAGUGGAAUUCCUAGUGUAGCGGUGAAAUGCGUAGAUAUUAGGAGGAACACCAGUUGCGAAGGCGGCUCUCUGGACUGUAACUGACACUGAGGCACGAAAGCGUGGGGAGCAAACAGGAUUAGAUACCCUAGUAGUC